Bos taurus (domestic cattle) is the source of this 71-nucleotide non-coding RNA. The record is from Rfam. Lineage: Eukaryota; Metazoa; Chordata; Mammalia; Artiodactyla; Bovidae.
UCCCUGGCGGCUUAGUGGGUAAAGUAUCUGCCUGCAACGCAGAGACAUGGGUUCUAUCCCUGGCUUGGGAA